AGUCUGAACCACCGGCAGGAACCCGCUGACAACCAGUUUAGGCCAUGAACACAGAAGCAAAGAACUCAGGGACCCCCAGUGUGUCCUCAUCAGCAGAGGUGAUCCCCACCCUGCCGCCACCUGAGGAGAAGGCUGCACUGAAAGCAGUGGACCCUGGUGAAGGCGCCCUGCUCUCCUUGAGAUUGUAAGGCAUGACCCGGAGCUCUGUUCGUUCUGGGGUGUCAUGGCCUACACGGCCUCUCAGAGAGUCUCCAAACAAAGGAAAGACACCAAAAAGUCCAGUUUCGAAUUUUUGAUGGCCACUGCACCUUCCUCCCCUGAAACUGCCAGCUGCCCAAGUCCCCGUCUACCAUACCUGGGCACAAAGACAGCUUGUGUUGGACACAUCAUCGCUCCUGGCCUACAACCUGGAAAGUCUCCCUGCUUUAGUUCAGGGGUGUGGCUUCACUAGCUUCAAUCUCUGGGACCAGAGAACUGAACCGAGAGUUGCUCUGCUCAGAUAUAACUGGUGUUAUACUUUUCAGUUUGACUUGAUCUGGCUUACUGCGUUGGUGCAGAAUCUUAUGGAGUGGGAGCGGAAAACCUAUUGUCGGCAAGGAAUGAGAUGCAACACCAGGAAUAAAGAAGAGAAGUGAGCUGGAGGUCAGAAGUUCAAGGACAUCUUCAGCUAUUUAUGGGUUCCAGCACACCUGUGCUACACACACACACACACAGAGAGAGAGAGAGAGAGAGAGAGAGAGAGAGAAGAUUUUAUUUAUGCCAGUUAAUAGCAAUGUGCCUCUGAAGGCUCAUCAAAUGUGCUGUCUUGUGGUGACAGUGGGGGAGCGGUGUGGCAAAGCCACAAAAUAGAAUAAAUCUUUGUAUUGUCUACUACCUAAGCAUGCUCCAACAUAUUAAGCUCAUUUUUAAAACCGAAACCGAAUGCCAUAAAGCUCAUGCCUGUAACGGGUACUAACCUUGUACAACAUAGCAAGAUCUGCCUCAAAAGUAAAUAAAUAAACAAAUUAAA
Molecule: long non-coding RNA, 1009 nt
Organism: Myodes glareolus (Bank vole)
Lineage: Eukaryota; Metazoa; Chordata; Mammalia; Rodentia; Cricetidae
Source: RefSeq, a predicted model, not a curated record